CUUCACAGACCCGAGCCACAGCGGCCGGUCGCCCGGCCGGUCCUGGCCGUACGUGGCCAGCAGUGCCUGGGCCUC
Molecule: antisense RNA, 75 nt
Filed under: Streptomyces yunnanensis
Lineage: Bacteria; Bacillati; Actinomycetota; Actinomycetes; Kitasatosporales; Streptomycetaceae
Description: ASpks TB sRNA
Rfam family: ASpks TB sRNA
Source: RNAcentral